Numida meleagris (helmeted guineafowl) is the source of this 2123-nucleotide long non-coding RNA. RefSeq lists it as uncharacterized. The transcript is spliced from 4 exons. Lineage: Eukaryota; Metazoa; Chordata; Aves; Galliformes; Numididae. The record is from RefSeq and is a predicted model, not a curated record.
CUUUGGUGAAACAGGGGAAAUAAGUGUUUUCUGUGCAGUUAAUAACUCAGUGUAACUCAUUUGGGCCUUGUUGUCAUUUCCCUCUGAAGCAAGGCGGUUCCCUAAACUGUCAAAACAGUAACCCAGCAAAAAUAAACGAGAUGCUUUCUGCUGCAUUAGCGCCCUACAUCCGUUCAGUGGUGGGUCAGAGAGGGGCCAGAGGCAAUACAGAUAAAGAUGAGGCAAUGGGGAGAGGAUCACACCUUCCAGCAGAUCCCUUCAGCUAAAAGCUCUUACAGAUGGCCUCACUCAUUUUUGCAAUGCUUUCUAACGAUGGAAAAUACUCCUGAAAGCAGCACUGAGAGCACGUGGAAGAACACAGGGACAAUCCAAUAACGAAGGGAUUUGGCUUCAUGGAAAUCUGAAAUGCAGGACCGAGUAUGCACAGCUGUGACCAAAGUCAAUGGGAACUGUGCCUGAAUGUACAAUACCAAGCUGUCUGCUAAAACAGUUCCUUGGCAUUUUCAGUGGAAGACCCCAUAACAGGCAGAUGGUGUUUGGCUUUUGCUGUUUUAUCACCUGUGUCACAUCUCAGAGGUGACAGCUAAAUGGAUGGCGCUGGGAAGCACUCCCAUGUGGUGGUGAUGAGCUGCACAGGAUGAUCCUUCAGAGCUGGGUCUGGACAGCCUACAUUAAAGAAGGCAAGCGUUGGUCUAGGACAUAUUACUCUCUUAGAGAGCACAUGCUGUCCAUCCUAUACACUGACCAAACCAGGUGCCCUAUAGGAAAAAAUAAAUAAAUCUGUUACCAUGUAAUUAAAAACUGGGUUAUGAUGCAUAAGCACAAAGAAAGCAAGAAAUAGGAUUGCUCAGUUGGUCAUAAUUUCAGCACUUGGUACUUUCCAGUCUGACUUUGCAGCCUUAAUGGGCUUUUUAAAUGUUGUUUCUUGUGGUGUUUGUGUCCAUGUGUGUCUCAGUAGCUGAGAACACUCAACAGUACACGUAUGUAUAUAACUCUUAGGUAUAUCUAAUGCUUAGUUCAGAUAUCACACCUAGAAAAUAAACACAUGCAUAAACUCAGCAAACUAUCACUGACUCACCGUCUAGUCAUUCACUUUUCUGCUGCUUUUUUCCUCUUGCUGUGUCAAGCCUGUCUUCUGUAGCCCCUAUACUGAUUUCCCCCUCUCUUCCCAGGGGCAGGUUAAUGUCAGCCCUGGUUUCCUGGUAAUGUUAGACACUGCCAUGUUUGCUUUAGACACAAAAAUACAGAAUUCAAUUCCACAGGAGGUAAUAUUUAUUCCAUAACCAUGCUGUUUACCUGCCAACUACUUCUGCCUGCUCAUUAAAAGCAUUAUCACAGUGUAUGAAUGGAACAAUGUCCUUAGGCAUAACAGUGUUAGCACUGGUGUGAUUUGUGCAAAAUUGAAGCUCCUGUUUCUUUGUUUUCAGCAAUUUGCAUUGCUUUCCUCUAUCAACCCUGCAGCUUUCACUCUCCUUCAGAUACCCAAAGCAAAACAUGAUGAGAGAGCUUGUGUCUGCCUGAUGUCCUACAACACCAACACGAGCCUUGUCCCAGGCUCAGAGCCCUGUGGCCCAGCUGCUUGCUAUGUUCAGUGACAGCCACAUCCACGGACACAACCCUGCCAAAGGUGCUUGAUAGUCAAAGGCAGAACCAGCUGCCAAGGCCAGAACGAAGUUCUAAGGGAAAUCAGAGCACAAUGACUGCCCAGCACAGCCUAUGAGAAUACAGUCUGCACUUGGAAAGCCAGAAUAACCAGCUGCACAUUCUUCUAAUGAAAUCCUCACGCAGUUACUCCCUCCACAUGGUUUUAUCAGAUGAGAUACUGAACAUUAGCACUUGUCAGCUAUUUUCAUGCAGCUAGACAUUUGCCUUGUCUCCUAACAAUCAACCUUUUGUUAUUAACACGCCUCUUACAAAAAGGAAGAAGUAUUUAAAUGUGCCUCAUAUCCAAAAGGUAUUUUCAAAAAUUUGAUUUUGACUCAGUAUUCUGAGGUGCUUAGAAAUCUGUGGAGCUUAACAAAGAUGUCAACAGCCCAGGUUCUACUUCUUCAGGGAUUAAUAACCAUCUCCCUGCUGUAGGAUGAGGAAAAAUAAAAAAAUGAAAAUUUAGUACAGACAAAACA